Long non-coding RNA from Salvelinus sp. IW2-2015, 656 nucleotides. RefSeq lists it as uncharacterized. The record is from RefSeq and is a predicted model, not a curated record. Lineage: Eukaryota; Metazoa; Chordata; Actinopteri; Salmoniformes; Salmonidae.
CUACUUCUGGUAUGAUGAAUGUAUAUGUUUACAUAACAUUACUAAUACAACUUAAAUUGCUAAGUAAGGGACGUUUUAGCCUAAUUUAAACCGUUUGGGGAGAUGGCGUCGUUGGCAGCAAUAGAGCCAGGGCUAAGCCCGGGGACAUUACCGAAAGAGGAAUCCGUAGUACCAGUUUCUAUAUUCGCACCGGACUGUGGGGAUGACCUUUCAGGGGGAGAGUGCUUCGAAGACGGAGAGAAUGUUAACGGCGAGUCCGAGGAUCAUUUAGACUUUACUAGCAAGCUGACUCUGGUCAGCCCCACAGGAGAACAGUAUGACUCGUUACUACGGCAACUCCGAGAGAGGAUGGAUGAAGGAUGUGGGGAGACCAUUUAUGUUGUGGGAGUGGGCUCAGGUGAGAAGGGACAACCUACUUUUCUACCUUAUUGUCGGUCCAUAUACCUAAACCACACAACAGAACACAUGGUGCUCAUGUGUAAACAUCUCCAAUAAMAACCCAGAUCUACGGUGACCCCCUUACAGAACACAGACCUGAUAUCCCAGAUCAGUUGUGCUUUUUGUCAGUUGUUUAAACACUAACAGAUCUGGGACCAGUCAGGCUAGUGUCAACCCCCAAAGUUGGGCACAGUGUGCAGGUUGACUAGGCUACUCGU